AUUAUUAAACUUAGUUAUGAGAAAUGACUGAGUAGUGACUGUGUAUAUGAAGUUUACUGUGUAUAUGAAGGUUACUGUGUAUAAGAUGUCGGUAAUUAGAAGAAAACCCUAAUUACUGUUGUUUGUCGAUAAUUAGGACAAACCCUAAUUAUUACAACCCUAAUCGGUUGAAGUUAGAGAUCGUAAUGACUGUGUUAGAACAUACACAGAUAAUUAGAGAACCCUAAUGGUCAAUUAGAAACCCUAAUUGAUGGCGUUAAGAAACCCUAAUUAGAAAAUCCUAAUUUUCUAUAGAAAACCCUAAUUUAAAAUUAUCGGGUUUAAUUACGAUGUUAAUGUAUAAAUGUUUUAAUUUACCAAAGGAUGAAAAGUAAUUGGUAAAUAAUAAGAAUUACCAUCUAGUGAUUAAAUAUUACAUUUAAUUGCCAUGUACAAGAAUGCCCAUGAAAUUAUAUGGGAAAUUACCAAAAUACCCUUUUUGUCCAUUUUAGUGUAUUAUUAGUAGCAUUGUUGAUGGAAUCUUCAAUUAUGCUAGCUAAUCAAUGGCUUCUAGAAUUCCCUCAUGCUACUAUACCAUUACACCUCAAUUAUACCAACCCUAUUGAGCAUCCAAGGCACUUGACAUGGUCUAUAUAUAGAGAUUGAGGGAGAAAUAAUGCAAAUGCACACUAAUAUUUUCUAAACUCUCUAGCCACACUCUCUCAAGCUUUAGCCAACGAAAUUCUCUUACCCAUAAGCUCCUAAUCAAAGCCCAACCAUUACAAACAACAAAUCAGAAGCAUCAAAGCCAAAAAAAUCAGAAAUCGAAGCUAGAAAAGGUAUGAAAUUCCCUAAUUUUGAAAUCUUUCGAUUCUAUGUUAAUUGAUGCAAUUGAUUGUUUAAAGUAGUGUAAUAGGG
RNAcentral lists this long non-coding RNA (897 nucleotides) under Panax ginseng (ginseng). RNAcentral describes it as "long non-coding RNA (PGIN_LNC005564)". Lineage: Eukaryota; Viridiplantae; Streptophyta; Magnoliopsida; Apiales; Araliaceae. The record is from RNAcentral.